GAUGAAGAACGCAGCGAAAUGCGAUAAGUAGUGUGAAUUGCAGAAUUCAGUGAAUCAUCGAGUCUUUGAACGCACAUUGCGCCCCCUGGUAUUCCGGGGGGCAUGCCUGUCCGAGCGUCAUUGCUGCCCUCAAGCACGGCUUGUGUGUUGGGCCUCCGUCCUCCUCCCGGGGGACGGGCCCGAAAGGCAGCGGCGGCACCGCGUCCGGUCCUCGAGCGUAUGGGGCUUCGUCACCCGCUCUUGUAGGCCCGGCCGGCGCUUGCCGACACAUCAAUCUUUUUUCCAGGUUGACCUCGGAUCAGGUAGGGAUACCCGCUGAACUUAAGCAUAUCAAUAAGUGGAGGA
This 345-nucleotide unclassified non-coding RNA is filed under the name soil metagenome. RNAcentral describes it as "partial contains 5.8S ribosomal RNA, internal transcribed spacer 2, and large subunit ribosomal RNA". The stretch from base 1 to 120 matches the Rfam family "5.8S ribosomal RNA", at positions 35 to 154 of the family's 154-position model. The record is from RNAcentral.